Acanthosepion pharaonis is the source of this 114-nucleotide non-coding RNA. Lineage: Eukaryota; Metazoa; Mollusca; Cephalopoda; Sepiida; Sepiidae. The record is from the annotation of a GenBank genome assembly.
UUACGGCCAUAUCGCGUUGAAAUAUUGGUUCACAUCCGGUCAACAAAGUUAAGCAAGGUUGAGCCUGGUCGGUACUUAGAUGGGUGUUUGUUCCGGAAUAUCAGGUGCUGUAAU